ACGCGAGUGCAAGCAAAUCUCAAAAAUAACGUCUCAGUUCGGAUUGUAGUCUGCAACUCGACUACAUGAAGCUGGAAUCGCUAGUAAUCGCGAAUCAGAAUGUCGCGGUGAAUACGUUCCCGGGUCUUGUACACACCGCCCGUCACACCAUGAGAGUCGGGAACACCCGAAGUCCGUAGUCUAACCGCAAGGGGGACGCGGCCGAAGGUGGGUUCGAUAAUUGGGGUGAAGUCGUAACAAGGUAAC
This 246-nucleotide ribosomal RNA is filed under the name uncultured bacterium. RNAcentral describes it as "partial 16S ribosomal RNA". It matches the Rfam family "Bacterial small subunit ribosomal RNA", at positions 1255 to 1500 of the family's 1533-position model. The record is from RNAcentral.